Molecule: ribosomal RNA, 492 nt
Filed under: uncultured bacterium
Lineage: Bacteria
Description: partial 16S ribosomal RNA
Rfam family: Bacterial small subunit ribosomal RNA
Source: RNAcentral
AGUGAACGCUGGCGGUAGGCCUAACACAUGCAAGUCGAACGGCAGCACAGUAAGAGCUUGCUCUUACGGGUGGCGAGUGGCGGACGGGUGAGGAAUACAUCGGAAUCUACUUUUUCGUGGGGGAUAACGUAGGGAAACUUACGCUAAUACCGCAUACGACCUACGGGUGAAAGCAGGGGAUCUUCGGACCUUGCGCGAUUGAAUGAGCCGAUGUCGGAUUAGCUAGUUGGCGGGGUAAGGGCCCACCAAGGCGACGAUCCGUAGCUGGUCUGAGAGGAUGAUCAGCCACACUGGAACUGAGACACGGUCCAGACUCCUACGGGAGGCAGCAGUGGGGAAUAUUGGACAAUGGGCGCAAGCCUGAUCCAGCCAUACCGCGUGGGUGAAGAAGGCCUUCGGGUUGUAAAGCCCUGUUGUUGGGAAAGAAAAGCAGCAGGUUAAUACCCCGCUGUUCUGACGGUACCCAAAGAAUAAGCACCGGCUAACUUCGUG